AGAUUUGAUGAUGAUUAUACUGCGCCUAGAUGAGCCAAUUAAUGGGUAGAAAUCGGGGCUUCUCAAGCUGAGAUGCGUUCUCCUACCUGAACCCUCU
Molecule: small nucleolar RNA, 97 nt
Filed under: Oryza sativa (Asian cultivated rice)
Lineage: Eukaryota; Viridiplantae; Streptophyta; Magnoliopsida; Poales; Poaceae
Description: Z198b small nucleolar RNA
Source: RNAcentral